Molecule: non-coding RNA, 998 nt
Organism: Triticum urartu
Lineage: Eukaryota; Viridiplantae; Streptophyta; Magnoliopsida; Poales; Poaceae
Source: RefSeq, a predicted model, not a curated record
GUCAAAACACAGGAGGGCUUGGUCAAAAUACCUAGAACUCGAUCCACUUUUCCCCAUCGAGAUACUCCUCCCACUCCCCCGUCCAGCGCCGCCACUUCCCCCGUACCGGCCGUCCAGUUCCGAUCAGCCGCCCCCCCUAGCCGUCGAGCGCCGCCCACAUCGCCGUCGAGCGCCACCCCCCUCGCCGUCGAGCGCCACCCCAACUCGCCGGUGACGUCCAGAUCCGCCUCCCUGGCCGGCGAUUUCCAGAUCCGCCUCCCUCCCCGUGCAGAGUGGCUCAUUAUCAUUUAUUCAGACCAAAAGCGUGUUGAUAUUUCUUUUUGGAGGUCAAGUAACUAUGGAUCUAUCUUUUUGGAGGUCAAGUAACUAUGGAAGGAUGACCACGGGGAGGGAUUGCUCCUUGUAAGCAGCAAGGAAAAGAAGAAUGGCCUAUGGCAGCAACAAAGAUGAACACUUGCAAGUUCAUGAAGUUGGAAGUUUGCAAAUGUGGUUGAGAGUGGAGAUUGUGGCCCCAUCAAUAAUAUAAUGUUCAAAAGUGUCUUCUUCUGAGUAGAAGUCGUUGUAGAUACUUGGGGCCACCGUUCUCCUCACCAGACCCUUGGGUGGGCGAAGGCCCUCAAGCACCUCCACUUGAACUUCUGGUGAAUGGAACCUUCCAAGCCCAAGUGAAUGCUGAUACUCCGUUGGCAGAAUGUUCCCAUGAUGAAGACAAUCCUCAUGCUACUCAUGCGGAUGAGCAUAGUUCUAUUCCAACACAGGACAAACAUUUAGGAAUUCCAGUAGUAUAGCUAGUUAAUAUUGUGAACUGCAGUGCAGUUAGGCUUUCUUUGUCAAUUGCUUCUCCUGGCAAUUUAGGAAUCAACUAGUAUGCGUGUUUUGGACUUGGUGACACCUCCUGUUAAGUCGAGCUUCCAUGAAUCAUGACUUGGAUAUGAAUGUGUGGAUCUUGUGAACAAUGAGAUUUAAAUAAAUUGGAUGGGUACAUUGUGACCUAGGAA